Molecule: non-coding RNA, 6551 nt
Organism: Manis javanica (Malayan pangolin)
Lineage: Eukaryota; Metazoa; Chordata; Mammalia; Pholidota; Manidae
Source: RefSeq, a predicted model, not a curated record
AUCUGGCUCUCAUGUCACCCUGCUCCGGCUUGCUGUCUGCCUGGGCUGCCCCAAGGGCUUUCUCGUCCUUCCGGCCGUGUUUGGCUAACGGGAAGCACCAGCAGGGAGAGUGGGUUUGGAUAUCGCUCUGCCUGGUCUCUGGGGGGUCUCUGUAGGCUGUCCACAUCUCCUGCCCACAGACUCUCUGCUUCAAGGUUCUUGUAACUUCCCUCCCCGCACCUCUUCAAGCCCAGAGGUGGUAGAGGCUCUCCCGGACUCUCAGAACUUCCUUCUACCUGUUCCAUUGAAUAUCUUUGUUUUCUGAUGCUGGGUAUGGGUAUGGGCAUUCCCUGUGCCCCUGAUCUGGAAAGAGGAGCACCUGAGUUACGGAGCAAGACCAGAAUCUGAGACAUGCAAUCGGAGCAUCAGCUGGUCUACCUUCCCUUUCCUCCCCCAUAUCUUCCUUUCUUUCCAUGUCCUCUCUCUCCAGGUCCUUUUAUUGCUGUGCAAGACCAUGUCUGGGAUGGAAGUGGAGGUAGAAGGGGAAUAUCAGUGACAAGGUCCUCAGGGGUCAGGGAGAUAGCCUUCCACCUCCACUAUGCUUCACAAUUACCCAGGGGAGAGCUGUGGUGAGGUGGUGAGGGCGAGCGCUGCCUCUGAAGCUAGACCUGCAUUCAAACCCAGCCCCUACAUAUGAUUUCUGUGUAACCUCAAAACAGUCAGUCACUUUUUUCUUCUCUGUAGACAAGGGAGAUGAGGCAUUAGAAAGAAUUCUGUAAACUACAAAACACUAUGGUAAUGAAGGGUUCCCCUUUCCUGUGGGAGCCCCAAGGGUACAUAAGAAGUGGAGGAGGGGUAAAUCUAAGGGGCUGAUGAAGGCUGCAGCCAUGAGGGGACAGAUGAGGCAGAAAGAGAGAAGGCCCCAGAGGCAGAGGACACUUGGACCAGAGCUCCUGCCAACUGGGUCUCAGGGGGCUAACCCAGCAGAGGGAGAGAAAAGCUUGCCUGGAGGUAUGCAUGUGCCCAAACCAAGGCAGCAGGCUGAAAGCUGAGAGGGAAAGCAACUCAACUGAAUAAUAGCAGCCAUGUGCCUGGGGCUGGCUAAAUGCCAGGCACUGAGCUGAGGCUUUCCAUGCUCAUUUAAUUCACCAACAAUUCUGUAAGGCAGAUGCUAUUACUAUCCUCAUUUUACAGAGGGGAGAAUGAGGUUCCAUAGAAUGAGUACAAGACAAUUCUAAAAAUUUUCACAGCCAGGAAAUGGCAGAAUAUGGAUUCAAAUCUAGAUUUUUCAAAAUCCAAAGCCCAUGUCAGCAAGACAGAGUUAAGGUUUUGUUUUGUUUUAAUGAUCUUUUAUGACAAGGAGGAGACAGUUGGACGAAACUACUGUGAGGCAGUCUGUGAAGCCAAGGGUUCAAAGAACCAGAGAUAGCAGAACAGAGUGGGUGGGGAAGUAAGUCAGAAGGCCCAGGUGAGCAUCUGAGACGAGCGCAAUCCAUCCUUUCUGUGGAACGGCUCAUGGGUGGGCGGGAUACGUUUAAAGGGCUGUGAACCGAGCAGCCACCUGCAGCCUGUUCUUAUGUGGGGACCAGCAAGAAAUCUUGGGUUCACAUGCUCUUUUCAUUGUAAUUAAUAGAAUUAAUGAAUGAUGUAGACCACCAUUCACCAAAGUGGGUUCCAUGGAACAUUAGUUCUAUAGGAAGCUAAUGGAUAUGACUUGGAAAAAAAUGGUCAAUUAAAUUCACUGCAAUUAAAUUUAAUAUCUUUAUUGAGUUGAAUCCACAACAGGGCUGUGAACUACAAAAUCAAUCAUGAACAACACAGGCAAAGUCCCUGUCCUCCCGGAGUUUGUAGACUAACAGUCAAGGUAAGCUUGGGAAAUAGUGCAUCAAAGUGAUAAAGGUUUCUUUAGCAAACAUUUCAGGGUUUUAUUAUAUUAUGUUAACAAGCUUUGCAACUUUCUAAGAGUAGGGUAGAGAAUACAAGGAUUGCCCUCAAAUAAUCUGGCCAUGGAUCCUAUUUUAUUGCCAUAAAGUCUCUUCACAUGGUGACAGGGCUGGUAUUUUGCAACACAAGCUCAGGGAAAUCUCUGGGGCAGACAAAGAAUGACAAGCUCCACCUCUGCCUUUAUUCAUUUCACCACAAUAUUAGUAGUGUGACAAAAGGGAUGGUGGAUGACAUUAAAACCCAGAACAUGGCAUCCAGGUGGUGCAAGUAUGGAGGACUGUGGCCCCAUGGAUGGACACCAAGGGAUGCCUGCUGCUCUACACUGAACUCUAACAGAGUCAAGGUCACCUGGAAAUUACUGUAGGCGUUACAUAACAGCCGGGACUGCAGGGAACACCUAUACAAGACGGCAUGACAGCUAGACAAUGGAGUCCUGGGUAAAAUGGAGUCAUUCAUGAGCUGUGUGAGAGGCGGCUCUGUUCCCAGCUUGGCUCCCUGGGAAAUGAAGUGUGCUGCAGACAAAGAGGGAAACUUUACCCUCUCGCAGGGUUCCCACAGGGGCAGGCUCACAGUAAAACAAGGCACUCGUUGGCCCAGAGAAAAGGCAACCAUAUCCAUAGACUUUGCUCUCUCUCUCCCAGAUCGUGGUCUUGUGCCAAACCCACAAGAAUAAUCUCCCAGCAAGAACAGCAAGGCUAACUCGCUGUGGGCCUGAAACGGCAGAGCCGGAGGCUUGGCUCAUGCAGGGAGGCUCCAUCCUUCUGGACACAAAGCCUAUGGUGUGAGCAGGUGACAGCUGAAGAAGAAGACAGUGGCUAAAUGCUCCAGAAUCAGACUGAAAGAAGACAGCAGAGCAACAGCCAGUGAAUGUUCCAAGAGCAGAUGGGAGAGAUCUAAGGUCCACAGAGAUCAUCCUGUCACCGGAACUCUGAGUUGAGAAAACUGAAGCUCAGAGAGGUCAUGUGACUUCAGAUUUGACCAUUAGUCAUGGAUUCAAGACUGGGAUUCAAGCCUGCUGCAUCUCCAUGCUUCCUUGCCUCCAUGGGCGCUGCCAUAUCACCGGAGGCUGCAGCACUGUCUUGGUCAUUCCCAUAAGCCUGAGCUCAGAGCAGGGCUCUAAGAUAACUCCAGCUGCUUUGAAGCAUUCCAUGUGAUGGAUUACUAUUAUGACUCCAAAGGCUCUCCAGGAGAGGCAGAACUCAAAGAUAAAUGUGCCUAAGGAAUUACCUAAAAGAAGUCUGCAUAAUCACAAACUACCUCACACAGAAGUAUCAUGUCUCAGAGGUGAUGAAGCAUGAAGCCAGCAGACAAGAGUAUGGAGCAACCAGCAAAGCUCUUUUAAUGGGUGGAAAGAGAAAGCAAGGACUCCUGCUAGCCAGGAGGGGCUCCAAAAGAGAAGGCUGUCAGGGCUAUGGUGUCUGGGGUUUAUAUUGCCUCCAAAGAGGAGAAAGUCCCACCACACCCCCUGAACCAGAUGGAGAACUGAAUUAAUGACAUCACAACUCCCUCCUGAUUGACUGAAAGUACAAUACUUCAUUUGCAUAAAGCAGCUGAGGUCCCUGUACCUUUGAAAGGCUGAACUUCAUUUGCGUAGGGCACAACCAAUCAGAGCAGCUGAGGUCUAGCUAAGUGGCUGAGUUUGGAUUUUAGGAGCUUUUUACAAGGGUCCUGAACUUUAUCUACCUGUGUGCCACCACUACCUGCCUCAGUAGGGUCUGGAUUUCACAAAGGGUAAGGGUAAUAAUGUUAUAUUUCUGUGUAUCCAUCGUAGUAUUCAACAUGGUGCCGGCCAUCUAGUAGGGAUUCAAAAAGUCAGUGUUAAUUGGUGAACUUUAAGGAGUAAUUCUGAUUGCUUCAGUGAGCUUUCUCCAGGCUACAGUUACUACCCCCAGGAUGAGAAGACAAAGAAAGAGACAUGCAGUGCGUCUUUUGAGCAUUGCUGUGUGCUUACUGUAUCAGUAAUAACUCUCCAGAGACAUUGGCCUGAUAAGAUCCUCCAGAGGCAUCUCCAAGACUGAGCUUGACAAGUUAGGCUUCUGAGUUGAAGAAUUAAACAAGGGCAGCACAGAAGAUUCAGCAAUCUGCUGUGUGCAGAAAUGCAGGCUCUGGGUCCCUGCCACCUGAGCUGGGGACCCAGCUCUACCACUUACUAGUGCAUAACUUCGUACAAAUUACUCAACCUGUCCUCAUCUGUAAAAUGAGGCUCAUAAUAGAAUCCACCAUUGUGCUCCGGUGAGGAUUGAAUGAGAGAAUGCGUACAAAGCAUUUAGAAAAUAGCCCAGCCCAUAGUGAGAGCUCAAUAAUGUUAGCUAUUAUUAGCAUAAUUGAGUAAUGACCGGAACGGGAUUGGUUCAUAGACACAGGCUGAGGACUGUAGCCACAGCUUGGAACCCCUGAGAUAUUCAGGUGGGCUUCUGUCUUGUCUAACUAAGUCUCUUACCCAAGCCACCUGAAUUUGUCACUGGAUCAUUGAGUGUAAUGACAUCAGAUACCUAAACAGGAUUCUCUGCCCUGUUCCUCUUCUGGUUUCAUUUCCAAUAACUCCAUUCCAUACAAAUGUCCUAUUCAUAUUCUUACCAGGCAUCUAGAUUGUCUAGAAGGAAAGGAAGGUGGCAUAGAGCAAAAUGUCAGCUCUAGAAACAACAGGUAGGUUCAUUAAAGGAAAUGAAGCUUUUUUUAAUGGAAGUAUAGUUAAUAUACAAUAUUAUGUUGGUUUCAAGUAUAUAACAUAGUGAUUCCACAAUUAUCUACAUUAUUUGAUGCUCACCCCAACAAGUGCAGCUACUAUCUGGAAAUGAAGGCUUUUGACCCACUAAGAUGGUGGAAGGAACAGAAGAAGAGGAAGGUGGUUGAACUGCAGAGCAUUUCCUAGAAUAUGGCAGUGGACUUCCUAAGAGAAGAGUAGGUUCUUGGUGUCACUGUAUUUACACAAUGGUUAACGAAGAGCAUUUCUCUUUAAAUCUAAAUAAUAUUUUGUCACUUGCCAACAAGAGUUUUGGAAAUAGUGGAAUCUAACUCCAAUUCAACAUUUCAGUAGUAUUCAAAUCAUUGGGAUGACAGCCCUAUAGUAAGAAAUGCAUUUCACAUCAUGACAUAAUGUGCACAUUCAUGCAGACGAAUUUAUAUUACCGAAACCACAGUUUCACCAAAUAACACUUACCCUUCUUACAUGCAGUGCAUUGUAAUAGUUCACCUUCUCUUCUCAGUUCUGUUUUUACUCAAUUGCAUUUUUUAAAUACAGCUUUACUCCAUUAAAUUUGUUUUGAGACCCUCUAAUGGAUCUUGACCUGUAGUUUGGGAAACACUGCAGUGUGUCUGCCAUUCUUGGGUAAAGAUUCAAUCACUUGCUCCAGAGGGCUAACCACAGGUGAGACUCUCUGUGCUAGUGAGAGGCAUCUUCAGGGGCUCAAUUUCUUCUCAUUCUCACAGAGAAAGCGCCUGAUGUGACAACACAGGAGCUGAUUGUGAGAUGAGCAUGUGGGACCAUAGGCCAUAGGCAAGACUCUGCAAGACAGGCUUGGAUCAUGUGUCUGCCCUCACCAGAAAUGGGGAAUAUGGGCAUCAGCAAAGUCCACCCUUCUUGGAAACCACCCCAAAGAAUCAUCAAAUCAACUCUAAUUUGGGUGAUCCCAGAAGACGCAAAAUAAGAAACAAUGGAGUUGUGCUAAACAUUUCAGUAAGCAGAGGAGUCCACAGACUGUAUGACAGUUUUUCUGAGGGAAAUUAAAAGUCAGGUAAUGUUUGAGGGCACAUGUGGCAUCUCCUGGACUUUUCAGAGCCUCUGGCACUGCAUUACCCAUCCCACUUUAGACUCGUCUUUCGUGCUGUGUUGUCUGGGGGCUGGGAAACAGAAUAUGGGAAUUUCUUGGUUUCUCUGUUUUUUUGUUUUGCUCCUUUCUCUGCACAUCAGGCAGGUCUGAAGAAAGGUAGCCCCACCAGGUGUGUGCUUCCUGGCCUCUUACAGUCCAGGCCAGCAAGGGAGGAAUUGGCUUUUAUUGAGAUCACGUGGGGAAGCACAACUAAUGUGACAAGUACCAGCACCAUAAAAGCAGCUGUUAUUUUUGGUAGAUUAUGUUUUCCAGAGCUCAGAAACUAAACCAAGAAUUUAUUUUUAAAAAAAGAAAAGAUGGCGAUCACUGCACCCCCAGAACACUCCCUAAUGCAGUGUAGAUAUUUAAAAGCACCAUCCAACUUAACUUUGUUUAUCGUCUUCUCAGGCUUCUACAGUCAAGUGUCUCUCUCCUGCGUGCCUCACCUUCUCACAGGUGUGCCCCAUGAUAUAAAAGGAGGUGGAGCCCUCCGUGCUACCUCAUAUGGGUAUUGGGCAGUAACAAUAUUGUGGCUUCCAGCAUGGGUAACAGGAUGGCCACCUCCAGAACCCACAGGAUAUAGUGUGGAUACCAAACAGCUGACUGUCUCCUUUAGUUUCCAACGGUGGCAUUUGAACUAGAGGAGUGUUACAAGAUCACCUUCUUCAGUUCCCUUGACAUAUCACCGCAGGUCACCUGGCAUACCCAACAGUGGCCUUCACUGCCAACCCCACCCCUUCCAAAUCACUCCAGUUCCUCCUUGCCAUUCCUAAAUUCUAAUAAACAGACUGUACUCACCACAGAGUUAAGUAACUCAUU